GUGCUCUAGUUGGCAGCAUGUAUAUGAAAAUUGGAAAGAUAGAUUAAAAUGGCCUCUGUGCAAGGAUGACAUGCAAAUUCAGCUAGGGCCAAUUUCUAUUU
This 101-nucleotide small nuclear RNA is filed under the name Myotis davidii. The record is from RNAcentral. Lineage: Eukaryota; Metazoa; Chordata; Mammalia; Chiroptera; Vespertilionidae.